AGGUGGUGGCAUGGUUGUCGUCAGCUCGUGUCGUGAGAUGUUGGUUAAGUCCCGCAACGAGCGCAACCCCUAUUGUUAGUUGCCAUCAUUCAGUUGGGCACUCUAGCGAGACUGCCGGUAAUAAACCGGAGGAAGGUGGGGAUGACGUCAAAUCAUCAUGCCCCUUAUGACCUGGGCUACACACGUGCUACAAUGGUUGGUACAACGAGUUGCGAGUCGGUGACGGCGAGCUAAUCUCUUAAAGCCAAUCUCAGUUCGGAUUGUAGGCUGCAACUCGCCUACAUGAAGUCGGAAUCGCUAGUAAUCGCGGAUCAGCACGCCGCGGUGAAUACGUUCCCGGGCCUU
Molecule: ribosomal RNA, 345 nt
Filed under: uncultured Streptococcus sp.
Lineage: Bacteria; Bacillati; Bacillota; Bacilli; Lactobacillales; Streptococcaceae
Description: bacterial SSU rRNA
Rfam family: Bacterial small subunit ribosomal RNA
Source: RNAcentral